RNAcentral lists this ribosomal RNA (344 nucleotides) under uncultured bacterium. RNAcentral's name for it is "bacterial SSU rRNA". It matches the Rfam family "Bacterial small subunit ribosomal RNA", at positions 343 to 686 of the family's 1533-position model. The record is from RNAcentral.
GGGAGGCAGCAGUGAGGAAUAUUGGUCAAUGGGCGAGAGCCUGAACCAGCCAAGUAGCGUGAAGGAUGACUGCCUAUGGGUUGUAAACUUCUUUUAUAAAGGAAUAAGUCGGGUAUGGAUACCCGUUUGCAUGUACUUUAUGAAUAAGGAUCGGCUAACUCCGUGCCAGCAGCCGCGGUAAUACGGAGGAUCCGAGCGUUAUCCGGAUUUAUUGGGUUUAAAGGGAGCGUAGAUGGAUGUUUAAGUCAGUUGUGAAAGUUUGCGGCUCAACCGUAAAAUUGCAGUUGAUACUGGAUAUCUUGAGUGCAGUUGAGGCAGGCGGAAUUCGUGGUGUAGCGGUGAAA